Molecule: long non-coding RNA, 1250 nt
Filed under: Triticum aestivum (bread wheat)
Lineage: Eukaryota; Viridiplantae; Streptophyta; Magnoliopsida; Poales; Poaceae
Description: long non-coding RNA (TAES_LNC004316)
Source: RNAcentral
UUUUUAUUUGAGUCUCCAUCUUCUCUUAUAAAGCGCCAGCUAGGGAGCACUAUGAUCAUACUUGUGCAUCUGAUGUAGCUAAUAUUCGUGUGUGUUUCAUGAAUGGAUCAAUGAUUGAGCAUGAUGGGCUAGGGAUAGCUUUCUUUAGUGUUAAUAUUUUGAACGACAUGGUUGCUUAUUGAUAUGCUUGAGUAUUGAUGUCCUCAUGUCAAUUAGAGAGUAUUGCUUUGAAUCAUGUAAAUGUCCAAAUGUCCAUGCUACGAAAAAAAAGAAUAUGUGAUGAACAUGUUAGGCGGCAUUCCACUUUAAAAAUUCUAUUUUUUUAUCAUUUACCUGCUCGAGGACGAGCAGGAAUUAAGCUUGGGGAUGCUGAUACGUCUCCAAUGUAUCUAUAAUUUUUUAUUGUUCCAUGUUGCUAUAUUAUCAAUCUUGGAUGUUUUACAUUCAUUUACUAGCAACUUUAUCUCAUUUUUUGGGACUAACCUAUUGACAUAGUGCCAAGUGCCAGUUGCUGUUUUUUGCUUGUUUUUUAUUUCACAGAAUAUCCAUAUCAAACGAAGUCCAAAUGCAGCGAAACAUUUUGGAGAUUUUUUCUGCCUAGAAGAGACCUAGGGAGCCCAAGAGGUGUACCUACUACAAUAGGAACCCCCCUCUAGUAACACAUUUUCCGUAUCUAAAAGCCCAUAUAUGUGUUGCAGGUGUCUUUACCAAUGAUUUGGGAUGCGUAGCCUUGUCCCGUGUUGCUAGCGCAUAAUGCAACGCGUAUUCUUCUGUUGGUAAAAGGACCAUUGCAAGAGUACAACACAUAAAACUAAAUUUUACAACACUUCUAUAUGUUGGUGAUUAACAUUCGUGAAUCCAAAUUUCAUUGCUUGGCAAUAUAGAAUGUGCAACGCUUAAGGUGUUUGUACAUAUGUAAUGUGGAUAUUACAUAUAUAAUGGUGAUAAUUAUGUAUUGGAUAUGUCCACACAGUGAGCAAAAAAAGUAAGAGAACAUACUCAAGAGAGGAAGAAAUCAUAUAUUGUAUUAAAUUGUUGGAUUACAAUAGUGGAUAUUACAUGAGGAACAUCAUCCCAAUGUGAUGCAUAAUCUAAAUAUUUUGUUGAUAUCCCUACAACUUAACCGAGGGACAUCAUCCAACAGGAGCAACAUCCCUACAACUUAACCAAAACAGAAGGCAUCCAUCAUCAUCAUCAUGAACCGGAUCAUCAUCAUCAUCAUGAACCAGAUCAUCAUCAUUGCAGUAUAC